This is a long non-coding RNA of Oncorhynchus tshawytscha (Chinook salmon), 494 nucleotides long. NCBI's taxonomy places the organism in Eukaryota, Metazoa, Chordata, Actinopteri, Salmoniformes, Salmonidae. The record is from Ensembl.
GUACCCUAGUGGUUAGAGUGUAGGGGCGGCAGGUACCCUAGUGGUUAGAGUGUAGGGGCGGCAGGUACCCUAGUGGUUAGAGUGUAGGGGCGGCAGGUACCCUAGUGGUUAGAGUGUAGGGACGGCAGGUACCCUAGUGGUUAGAGUGUAGGGGCGGCAGGUACCCUAGUGGUUAGAGUGUAGGGACGGCAGGUAGCCUAGUGGUUAGAGUGUAGGGGCGGCAGGUAGUCUAGUGGUUAGUGUAGGGACGGCAGGUACCCUAGUGGUUAGAGUGUAGGGGCGGCAGGUACCCUAGUGGUUAGAGUGUAGGGGCGGCAGGUACCCUAGUGGUUAGAGUGUAGGGGCGGCAGGUAGCCUAGUGGUUAGAGUGUAGAGGCGGCAGGUACCCUCGUGGUUAGAGUGUAGGGGCGGCAGGUACCCUCGUGGUUAGAGUGUAGGGGCGGCAGGUACCCUCGUGGUUAAAGUGUUGGACUAGUAACCGAAAGGUUGCAAGA